Molecule: ribosomal RNA, 468 nt
Filed under: uncultured bacterium
Lineage: Bacteria
Description: partial 16S ribosomal RNA
Rfam family: Bacterial small subunit ribosomal RNA
Source: RNAcentral
GACGAACGCUGGCGGCGUGCUUAGCACAUGCAAGUCGAACGGAAAGGCCCUGCUUUUGUGGGGUGCUCGAGUGGCGAACGGGUGAGUAACACGUGAGUAACCUGCCCUUGACUUUGGGAUAACUUCAGGAAACUGGGGCUAAUACCGGAUAGGAGCUCCUGCUGCAUGGUGGGGGUUGGAAAGUUUCGGCGGUUGGGGAUGGACUCGCGGCUUAUCAGCUUGUUGGUGGGGUAGUGGCUUACCAAGGCUUUGACGGGUAGCCGGCCUGAGAGGGUGACCGGCCACAUUGGGACUGAGAUACGGCCCAGACUCCUACGGGAGGCAGCAGUGGGGAAUAUUGCACAAUGGGCGGAAGCCUGAUGCAGCAACGCCGCGUGCGGGAUGACAGCCUUCGGGUUGUAAACCGCUUUCGCCUGUGACGAAGCGUGAGUGACGGUAAUGGGUAAAGAAGCACCGGCUAACUACGUG